UCUCGAUGAUGAGCAAAUAUGAUGACGAGUCCGAUCUUGUUUCCAUUCUAUUUCUAAGUGACGACAAAUCGAGGCAUUUGUCUGAGAGAA
This 90-nucleotide small nucleolar RNA is filed under the name Nelumbo nucifera (sacred lotus). RNAcentral describes it as "Plant small nucleolar RNA SNOR75". It matches the Rfam family "Plant small nucleolar RNA SNOR75". From Rfam's summary of the family: U15 is a member of the C/D class of snoRNA which contain the C (UGAUGA) and D (CUGA) box motifs. Lineage: Eukaryota; Viridiplantae; Streptophyta; Magnoliopsida; Proteales; Nelumbonaceae. The record is from Rfam by way of RNAcentral.